UUGGAGAGUUGUGAGGAGAUAAGUGACAUAAACUGGCAUGUUCUGAAAGAAUCACUCUGGAUGCUGUGUGGAGAAAACACUGAAAAGAAUUCUAGAGUGAAAGUUUCAUGAAUAUAAGAAGCAAGACAAGGAAGUGGCUUAUGCUUAAGGCCUUAAAGGCAACCACUGUGACAAUCCAGCCAUUCUCUGGAGAAUUCAGCAGAAAGCCAGUUGGAAGGUUUGAAAUGGAAAUUACAAGCGCAAUAUUACAGAAGUGUGGAUUUUAGUUACAAUGUCUCUAUGAGAAAGUCUAAAAGUUAAACAUAAGCAAAACAACAAAAACAUCUAAAUACCAGACACUAUCCUCAGAAAUUAGAUUUGAAAAAUGAGCUUCAUUUUCGAAGAACAUAUUGAAUUUGUUAUCUCGAUUAUGGAGGGCGACAAGUCCCACAGUCUGCCAUCUGCAGGAUGGAGAACCAGGGGGAGAAUAAUUGACUCCAUUCAAGUGUUCGCUCCUGUUUCAAUCAACUAUGGCUGAAGAGUGAGGAGACAUUUGGAAUAAAUAUGGCUUCUGGGGGCCCAUUCCUAUGGAUCAGCAGCUGGCUUCUGGAGGCCCAUUCCUGUGAAUCGUCGAUCUCAUAGAAGAUAAUAUUGUUAGAAGGCUUACCUCAUUGAUGCUGAACAUCCUAAAAAGCUUCUGCUGCUUUGAGUCACUGAAAAAGACCAAGAAACAUGAAUUUAAAAAAAAAUUUCAAAUGUUAUAAAAUAAAUAAUAUGAACUCAUUAUACCUACAAUGAAUAA
This 781-nucleotide long non-coding RNA is filed under the name Homo sapiens (human). RNAcentral describes it as "heart tissue-associated transcript 17". The record is from RNAcentral. Lineage: Eukaryota; Metazoa; Chordata; Mammalia; Primates; Hominidae.